GCAGAGCCAGGCCAGACCCUUUUGAGGGGGCUGCACGUGUAGCUGUGGGUCAUGGAGAAUAUGACUCAUAUUCUUGAACUCAGCAAGCUGACUGGGUAGUGUGACUGCAGUGUCCCUUGGGAACAUCCCAUGUCAGCUGUGGAAAAGGCAAGGAGCAAUUAUGUCAGGAGGAGGAGAUGUUAUUUUUCAGUGCCAUGGCUCUGCUGUGGAUGCUCAGAGAAGAGCUCGCAGGGAUCUCAGACUAAACAGACGUGUCAGAUGUGAUGCUAUGGCCAAAUACAGGUAUUUCCAAAUUGGUAUGGCUAUUAAAUAUAUGUGAGAUAAUAGCAAUCUGAGAAACACACGUGAUAGAAAUCUGGUGCGACCAAAUACUUGGUUUGGACAGAAUUAGAGUUUUAUGGUCUGAUUUUUAAAUGCAGCAACUCCAAAAGGCUUUUUCACACAGUAGAAAAGCUUCUUGUGCUGUUUCAAAGCUUAGCACAGAAAGCUGAUAAAUAGAAAGGAAGAUACAGCUUCCCAAAUAUAUCUUUUACAUACAAUCAAAAUGAAGAUCCUGACAUUAGGACAGGACAAGAUCCCAGAUUAAAGCUGCUGCGUGGCUUUCACUACCAAAAUACAGAGCCCAGCAUUACAUGACACUAAUCUAUGCGAUAGCACGGGCAGCUCGAGGCCCAUCAGGUCCAUCUGAUGAGGUUCUGCCACCAUCCCAUCUGUUUUAUAUUCAUCUGUCACCGAGACUCGGAGCCACUGGGGAGGGAAAAGAACUGGCAAUGUCAUGCCGUGGCUUUCUGACAUCCUUACAAGCAGUGUGGGAAUUGCUAGAGGAUGUUUCCCUGUGCUUAUCAGGGACAUCAAAAUGUAACUAAAUACCACUUAGGAGUAAAUACUGCUGUUAUCCAUCAGAAUUUCCAGAGCAGAAACUGCUGUUACAGCGUGUUUCAGCUGUUCCUGAACAAAAGGAGAUGUGUUGGGCACGGGGUGUCAGCUUCCCACCGGUACAGUCCCAAUUCCUGCUGGAGGCUCCACUACAGCCACUAAGGAAAAUGGUACAGUAUGGGCUCUCUGAGCUGGAAUGUGCUGCUAACACUCCGUGCAGUUGUCUCAGCCAAGUCUUCUUCUAAUUUGCUUUAACAGCAGAUGUUAAAAGGAAGAACAAAUCAAAGCAGCCAUGUACCCCGUGGGACUGAGGUUUCCUUGAGCUCGGCACUCAUCUCCAGCAGCAGCAGCAGUUGGCACCCAGGGAAGAGAAAAAAAAAAAAAAAAGAUAAAUAGACACUGAAAGUUCCCUGAAACAGCUCCUGAGCCUCUGGAGUGCCAAGCUGCCCUACUUUACUCCAUCACCUUGGAGAUGGAAAACACGUUUCUCUGCAAAAUCUGUUCGUCACGAUUCCCAAUUUUCUGUACCAGAGGAGAAGCUUGUACUGUGUGCUGGGAGAGAACAGGCUCCUCCCCAAAGCUGGCCAUGGAAAUGAACGUUUGGUAAGCCUUGGCAGAGGUUUUCAAGGAUGCCUAGAAAAUUAUAAUGCCCAAUUAAGUAGGAACUGGUCAUCCAAGUCCCUUAGGCGGUCCUGAAAAUUGCAACCACUCUGCACUGCAUCUGAUUUUCAGUCAGAUUUUCCCCUUCUGCUUCUCUUUGCACUCCUCUUCCAGCACCAUCCUGCUGGCACAGAGCUCCAGCUGAAGCCAAGGAGCAGGGCUUGGAAAGAUGGCAUUCCUGCAGCCUCAGUGGGGACAGGAGAGGGGAUAAUCUGCCCCUGCUGAGGCCAUUCAGAGCUGGAGCUUCUCCCUACUAGCUUAACUUCUUAGAAACUCCUGGGAGUUUUACCGUGUCCUUGAUUUCUUUCAGCAGCUCCACUCUGGGAAUGGGCUGUGCCUGGGCACAGAGGUGAGGGAAGCCCUUCACCUGGCAAAGGCUUGGGAGGUGAGAAAGGAGUGAAAAAGCCUCAUUAUUUUGGAGGUAAGUGGUGAAAUAGGUUUGCAAGAAAACAGGAGGGAAACCUGGUUCUGAGCAUGAGCAGGAACAGCAUCCCAAGCUUUCCUGGGAGCCACCCUCCAAUGCCACCUUUAAAUAUGGAAGACUUGCUCAUGGCCAGAGCACUGCUUCCCUCUCAUCUGGGUCUUAGUUUUCCACUGAUUCCCUCUGACCCACCCUUCUCAAUGACUAAAUCUCCCUUUCCCACAACCUGCUAUCAGUUGUUAUUCCUUCUCAGCCCUCCUUGUCAUCCAGAUCCAUCCAGUCUAUACGUGGCCCUGGAGUUCCUGAGCUGUGUUGGAAUUGUGCUGGUACUUCCCAGGAAUAAACCUGUUGGUUGUGCACAAGGCACGGUGGUGGGAUCCAAGGAAGGGAGAUGACCUUGUGUGACAGAGGUGACCUGGACAGAUGUUCCUUCUGGAAGUAUCAGGAGAUGGAGAGUGGCAACGGAACAUACAGGUGAGUGGGAUGAAAGCUCGCUGUUGUACGGGUUUGGAAAAACAUCCUCUGCACCUGCAGCAUUCCACAAGUGAGGAAUAACGGUGCCUUCCCAUCAAA
Long non-coding RNA from Empidonax traillii (willow flycatcher), 2530 nucleotides. RefSeq lists it as uncharacterized. The transcript is spliced from 3 exons. The record is from RefSeq and is a predicted model, not a curated record. Lineage: Eukaryota; Metazoa; Chordata; Aves; Passeriformes; Tyrannidae.